GCAGCCGCCGCGGUAACACGGAGGGUGCAAGCGUUAAUCGGAAUUACUGGGCGUAAAGCGCACGCAGGCGGUCUGACAAGUCAGAUGUGAAAUCCCCGGGCUUAACCUGGGAACUGCAUUUGAAACUGUCAGGCUGGAGUCUUGUAGAGGGGGGUAGAAUUCCAGGUGUAGCGGUGAAAUGCGUAGAGAUCUGGAGGAAUACCGGUGGCGAAGGCGGCCCCCUGGACAAAGACUGACGCUCAGGUGCGAAAGCGUGGGGAGCAAACAGGAUUAGAUACCCGUGUAGUCCCUGUCUCUUAUAC
This 302-nucleotide ribosomal RNA is filed under the name uncultured bacterium. Its description in RNAcentral is "partial 16S ribosomal RNA". It matches the Rfam family "Bacterial small subunit ribosomal RNA", at positions 508 to 807 of the family's 1533-position model. The record is from RNAcentral.